GGGACAACCCGCCGAAAGGCGGGCUAAAUCUGCGUACAUGCCACCGGGGCAUACCGGAGGCAGGAAAGGCUUCGGCCGGACAGGGAUGGGCAUGCGGCGCAUUAGGCAGUAGGCGGGGUAACGGCCCACCUAACCGACGAUGCGUAGGGGUUCUGAGAGGAAGGUCCCCCACACUGGUACUGAGACACGGACCAGACUCCUACGGGAGGCAGCAGUGAGGAAUAUUGGUCAAUGGUCGGGAGACUGAACCAGCCAAGCCGCGUGAGGGAGGAAGGUACAGAGUAUCGUAAACCUCUUUUGUCAGGGAACAAAGACUGGGACGCGUCCCCGGAUGAGUGUACCUGAAGAAAAAGCAUCGGCUAACUCCGUGCCAGCAGCCGCGGUAAUACGGAGGAUGCGAGCGUUAUCCGGAUUUAUUGGGUUUAAAGGGUGCGCAGGCGGUCUGUUAAGUCAGCGGUCAAAGCCCGGGGCUCAACCCCGGCCCGCCGUUGAAACUGGCAGUCUCGAGUUGGAGAGAAGUAUGCGGAAUGCGCGGUGUAGCGGUGAAAUGCGUAGAUAUCGCGCAGAACUCCGAUUGCGAAGGCAGCAUGCCGGCUCCACACUGACGCUGAGGCACGAAAGCGUGGGUAUCGAACAGGAUUAGAUACCCUGGUAGUCCACGCAGUAAAC
RNAcentral lists this ribosomal RNA (669 nucleotides) under uncultured bacterium. RNAcentral describes it as "bacterial SSU rRNA". It matches the Rfam family "Bacterial small subunit ribosomal RNA", at positions 140 to 807 of the family's 1533-position model. The record is from RNAcentral.